Molecule: transfer RNA, 72 nt
Filed under: Ferruginibacter sp.
Lineage: Bacteria; Pseudomonadati; Bacteroidota; Chitinophagia; Chitinophagales; Chitinophagaceae
Description: tRNA-Cys
Rfam family: tRNA
About the family: Transfer RNA (tRNA) molecules are approximately 80 nucleotides in length. Their secondary structure includes four short double-helical elements and three loops (D, anti-codon, and T loops).
Source: RNAcentral
GGUCCUUUUGGCCGAGUGGCUAGGCAAAGCUCUGCAAAAGCUUCUACAGCGGUUCGAAUCCGCUAGGGACCU